UACGAGGGGGGCAAGCGUUGUUCGGAAUUAUUGGGCGUAAAGAGCGUGUAGGCGGCCAGGUAGGUCAGCUGUGAAAACUCGAGGCUCAACCUCGAGACGCCGGUUGAAACCAUCUGGCUAGAGUCCGGAAGAGGAGAGUGGAAUUCCUGGUGUAGCGGUGAAAUGCGCAGAUAUCAGGAAGAACACCCGUGGCUAAGGCGGCUCUCUAGUACGGUACUGACGCUGAGACGCGAAAGCGUGGGGAGCGAACAGG
Molecule: ribosomal RNA, 253 nt
Filed under: uncultured bacterium
Lineage: Bacteria
Description: partial 16S ribosomal RNA
Rfam family: Bacterial small subunit ribosomal RNA
Source: RNAcentral